GCGGAGGGAUCAUUACCGAGUUAUACAACUCAUCAACCCUGUGAACAUACCUAUAACGUUGCCUCGGCGGGAACAGACGGCCCCGUAACACGGGCCGCCCCCGCCAGAGGACCCCCUAACUCUGUUUCUAUAAUGUUUCUUCUGAGUAAACAAGCAAAUAAAUUAAAACUUUCAACAACGGAUCUCUUGGCUCUGGCAUCGAUGAAGAACGCAGCGAAAUGCGAUAAGUAAUGUGAAUUGCAGAAUUCAGUGAAUCAUCGAAUCUUUGAACGCACAUUGCGCCCGCCAGUAUUCUGGCGGGCAUGCCUGUUCGAGCGUCAUUACAACCCUCAGGCCCCCGGGCCUGGCGUUGGGGAUCGGCGGAAGCCCCCUGCGGGCACAACGCCGUCCCCCAAAUACAGUGGCGGUCCCGCCGCAGCUUCCAUUGCGUAGUAGCUAACACCUCGCAACUGGAGAGCGGCGCGGCCACGCCGUAAAACACCCAACUUCUGAAUGUUGACCUCGGAUCAGGUAGGAAUACCCGCUG
Molecule: ribosomal RNA, 526 nt
Filed under: Fusarium cf. solani 10363
Lineage: Eukaryota; Fungi; Ascomycota; Sordariomycetes; Hypocreales; Nectriaceae
Also listed under: 18 other names
Description: eukaryotic LSU rRNA
Rfam family: 5.8S ribosomal RNA (bases 167-320)
Source: RNAcentral